RNAcentral lists this ribosomal RNA (464 nucleotides) under uncultured bacterium. RNAcentral describes it as "bacterial SSU rRNA". It matches the Rfam family "Bacterial small subunit ribosomal RNA", at positions 28 to 492 of the family's 1533-position model. The record is from RNAcentral.
GAUGAACGCUGGCGGCGUGCUUAACACAUGCAAGUCGAACGAAGCACUUGAGAUUGAUUCUUCGGAUGAUUUCUCUUGUGACUUAGUGGCGGACGGGUGAGUAACGCGUGGGUAACCUGCCUCACACAGGGGGAUAACAGUUGGAAACGACCGCUAAUACCGCAUAACCCGCUAGGGCCGCAUGGCCCGGACGGAAAAGAUUUAUCGGUGUGAGAUGGACCCGCGUUGGAUUAGCUAGUUGGCAGGGUAACGGCCUACCAAGGCGACGAUCCAUAGCCGGCCUGAGAGGGUGAACGGCCACAUUGGGACUGAGACACGGCCCAAACUCCUACGGGAGGCAGCAGUGGGGAAUAUUGCACAAUGGGGGAAACCCUGAUGCAGCGACGCCGCGUGAGUGAAGAAGUAUUUCGGUAUGUAAAGCUCUAUCAGCAGGGAAGAAAAUGACGGUACCUGACUAAGAAGCC